Molecule: ribosomal RNA, 942 nt
Filed under: Ganoderma sp.
Lineage: Eukaryota; Fungi; Basidiomycota; Agaricomycetes; Polyporales; Polyporaceae
Description: partial large subunit ribosomal RNA
Rfam family: Eukaryotic large subunit ribosomal RNA
Source: RNAcentral
AUAGCAUAUCAAUAAGCGGAGGAAAAGAAACUAACAAGGAUUCCCCUAGUAACUGCGAGUGAAGCGGGAAAAGCUCAAAUUUAAAAUCUGGCGGUCUUCGGCCGUCCGAGUUGUAGUCUGGAGAAGUGCUUUCCGCGCUGGACCGUGUAUAAGUCUCUUGGAACAGAGCGUCAUAGAGGGUGAGAAUCCCGUCUUUGACACGGACUACCAGUGCUUUGUGAUGCGCUCUCAAAGAGUCGAGUUGUUUGGGAAUGCAGCUCAAAAUGGGUGGUGAAUUCCAUCUAAAGCUAAAUAUUGGCGAGAGACCGAUAGCGAACAAGUACCGUGAGGGAAAGAUGAAAAGCACUUUGGAAAGAGAGUUAAACAGUACGUGAAAUUGCUGAAAGGGAAACGCUUGAAGUCAGUCGCGUCGUCCGGAACUCAGCCUUGCUUUCGCUUGGUGCACUUUCCGGAUGACGGGUCAGCAUCGAUUUUGACCGUCGGAAAAGGGCUGGAGUAAUGUGGCACCUCCGGGUGUGUUAUAGACUCUAGUCGCAUACGGCGGUUGGGAUCGAGGAACGCAGCGCGCCGCAAGGCAGGGGUUCGCCCACUUUCGCGCUUAGGAUGCUGGCAUAAUGGCUUUAAACGACCCGUCUUGAAACACGGACCAAGGAGUCUAACAUACCUGCGAGUGUUUGGGUGGAAAACCCGAGCGCGUAAUGAAAGUGAAAGUUGAGACCUCUGUCGUGGAGGGCAUCGACGCCCGGACCUGACGUUCUCUGAAGGAUCCGCGGUAGAGCAUGUAUGUUGGGACCCGAAAGAUGGUGAACUAUGCCUGAAUAGGGUGAAGCCAGAGGAAACUCUGGUGGAGGCUCGUAGCGAUUCUGACGUGCAAAUCGAUCGUCAAAUUUGGGUAUAGGGGCGAAAGACUAAUCGAACCAUCUAGUAGCUGGUUCCUGCCGA